Molecule: long non-coding RNA, 893 nt
Organism: Raphanus sativus (radish)
Lineage: Eukaryota; Viridiplantae; Streptophyta; Magnoliopsida; Brassicales; Brassicaceae
Exons: 3
Source: RefSeq, a predicted model, not a curated record
AAUCGGAUCAUUGAUUGGAAGAACUGGACAUUCAUUGAGAAACCAUCCACCACUGGGAGUCUGGGAGUCCUGGUACCAACCAAUGAAAUCCGACUCUCAUACACACCGGCUCAAGGAAUUUGAUCUAAAUGAACUGCCGGCUCUUUCACAUCCUGACGUGUGCAUCAUCGAUGAUGAGGAGCCUGAACAAUGCGCUAGCCAGUCAGGUGGUAUAGCAGCAGCAUCUCCGGUAGUCUUAAUAUCAUAUCAGGAGGCAGCAGACAAAGCACAAGUGGUGGUGAGCUAAAAACUUUUUUCCUUUGGUAUCUGUUUUUUUUUGUUUCUUGGAAGCAUUCAUGACACAAGGGUCAUUUCCUGCACUCUUUAUUAGGAUUGUGAAGCUCACGAAGCUGUUAACUUGUCUAAUCGUGUUGGUGGUGCAACAGACAUUUCUCAUGAGCUGCAAAGCAUAUCAUCUCAAGAAAGUGGCCAGCCUCGUAAUAGCUUAUGGGUCGAUAAGUACCAGCCAAGAAGUGCCUCGGAGGUAUGUGGUAAUACUGAAUCUGUAAAACUAAUGAAUGAAUGGCUGGGGCAAUGGCAUGAGAGAGGCUUUCAGCCAAGCAAAUAUUUUUUGAAUAGAGUGAUGAGGAGAAAUCGCAAGAUGCUGAUUACAACUGUUCUAAAAGUGAUUCUAACUCGGAAAACAUUGGUGCUGAAGACCGCCUGAAAAACGUUCUGUUGAUCGUUGGUCCAGUUGGGGUGUGUGAUAAGUUAUUCUGCCACGAACUUUCAGUUUUUGUUUUCAAUCUACAUUGCUUUCUGCGUUUCAUGCGUGGGACUCUUAUGUUAGUGAUUUUGAUUUGCAGAGUGGGAAAUCUGCAGCUGUUCAUGCAUGUGAAUAAUUCUAUGAGAGU